This is a long non-coding RNA of Labrus mixtus (cuckoo wrasse), 1179 nucleotides long. RefSeq lists it as uncharacterized. Lineage: Eukaryota; Metazoa; Chordata; Actinopteri; Labriformes; Labridae. The transcript has 2 exons. The record is from RefSeq and is a predicted model, not a curated record.
GAAUAUAACUGGGGCUUGAAUCAGACCGGGGCUGUCAGCGGGUCCACACUUCAUCCACAUUCACCUUAACAAGAGCUAACUGUGUUUGUAUCUGAAUAUCAUCAGAGCUAUAAUCAAUAGCUAUGAGACUAAGAGACGGAGCAGAUAGGAACCAGUUAUGGAGAGAUUUAUUCUGAGAGAAUCAGACCCUGACUGUUCUGAUAAAAUGUUGAUUAAUUCCCUAGGUAAACAUUUUUAGAACUUUAUGCUCUCAGUCUGUUAUCUCAAGUUCUUUCCACACAGCAUGACGUUCAUUUAGUCAAUUAUGGUCCAUUUAGAGUCAGAGACCAGGAAGAGGGGAGGGGUAAUAACAUAUUUACCCUUGGGUACAAAAAUUGUUGCUUGUGGCUCAUAAACCAUAAGAUGAUAACAGAGGACGUCCAUAAAGCAGCAUGUGUCGUCAACAUGCUCUAAAGCCUGUACACUUGCAGAAACACCUUCACCUGAACAUCAUGCUCACCUUAAAAAAGGAAACGCCACAGAGAGAGAGAGAGAGAGAGAGAGAGAGAGAGACGACAAGCCGUACCCAAAACAUAGAAGUUCAAAGGCACAUACAUAAAUUCACAGAUAUAUAUAAAUACUGCACUUAUUCAUUCAGACAUAUCAUCGCUCUCUCACACACACACACACACACGCACAGCGUUCAGCAGAUCCAGCAUAGAGACAGCCUCGGGCGUUCACACAUCAGUAACAUACAGCUAACCCGGCAGCACGUCACCCAGGAUUCUACAUGUUCCAUGUUAACGUGUAUGUGUGUGUGUGUGUGUGUGUGUGUGUGUGUGUGUGUGUGUGUGUGUGUGUGUGUGUGUGUUUGUGCGUGUGUGUGUCUCAGUGUGUGUGUUGAUGUCUUUUCUCUCAGCCUCAUUAAAACAAUGUCCCAGUCAGAUGUCACCUUAAAUAAAUUAUUAUUAUAUUACAUACAUUAAAGGUCACAUAUUCUCCUCCUCUUCUACCAGUGUAACACAAACCCACCUGGGGGAGGGGCUACUGCCCUUUGUGAUGUCAUGAAGGGGAAAUCUCCAAACGGUCUGUUUGAGCACACAUUUUCUGAAAAGUGGAGCAGGUAAAAGACGGCGAGGAUGGACUUUUCUCAUCAUUGGGGGGUUUGUAGACGGACUAGAGACACAUAUUAGAGUUAGA